This 439-nucleotide ribosomal RNA is filed under the name uncultured bacterium. RNAcentral's name for it is "partial 16S ribosomal RNA". It matches the Rfam family "Bacterial small subunit ribosomal RNA", at positions 339 to 795 of the family's 1533-position model. The record is from RNAcentral.
CUACGGGGGGCUGCAGUGGGGAAUAUUGGACAAUGGAGGAAACUCUGAUCCAGCCAUGCCGCGUGAAUGAUGAAGGCCCUCGGGUUGUAAAGUUCUUUUGGUGGGGAAGAUGAUGACUGUACCCACAGAAUAAGCUCCGGCUAACUUCGUGCCAGCAGCCGCGGUAAUACGAAGGGAGCUAGCGUUGUUCGGAAUUACUGGGCGUAAAGGGUGCGUAGGCGGUUUAGUUAGUCAGAUGUGAAAGCCCCGGGCUCAACCUGGGAACUGCGUUUGAUACUGCUAAACUAGAAUUCGGUAGAGGUGAGUGGAAUUCCCAGUGUAGAGGUGAAAUUCGUAGAUAUUGGGAAGAACACCAGUGGCGAAGGCGGCUCACUGGACCGACAUUGACGCUGAGGCACGAAAGCGUGGGGAGCAAACAGGAUUAGAUACCCCCGUAGUC